RNAcentral lists this unclassified non-coding RNA (229 nucleotides) under Hevea brasiliensis (rubber tree). The record is from RNAcentral. Lineage: Eukaryota; Viridiplantae; Streptophyta; Magnoliopsida; Malpighiales; Euphorbiaceae.
GCUUUCUCAAGAUCCCCUAAGUACAGAAAUAUUACCAAUAAUGCAACCAGGAAUACAAAUUAACUUGUUUGUCUUGAAAUUUUGAGAUAAUUUUUAGUAAUUCUAGGCAAUAAAUUAUAACAAAAAUUAAAACCAAGAAAAACCGCAUGCCAUUUUUGAGUUAUUUGACAUGGUUGAAAAUAAAAUGAUAAAUCUAAUUGAAGGGGCGGAAGCAUGAAAAAUAUUAGUU